GUCCACGCCGUAAACGAUGGAUGCUAGCCGUUGGGACUUACGUCUCAGUGGCGCAGCUAACGCGUUAAGCAUCCCGCCUGGGGAGUACGGUCGCAAGAUUAAAACUCAAAGGAAUUGACGGGGACCCGCACAAGCGGUGGAGCAUGUGGUUUAAUUCGAGGCAACGCGAAGAACCUUACCAGGCCUUGACAUGGGUAGUAUGGGGAGCAGAAACGUUCUCCUUCAGUUCGGCUGGCUACCACACAGGUGCUGCAUGGCUGUCGU
Molecule: ribosomal RNA, 264 nt
Filed under: uncultured bacterium
Lineage: Bacteria
Description: partial 16S ribosomal RNA
Rfam family: Bacterial small subunit ribosomal RNA
Source: RNAcentral